CCUACGGGUGGCAGCAGUGAGGAAUAUUGGUCAAUGGGCGAGAGCCUGAACCAGCCAAGUCGCGUGAGGGACGACGGUCCUAUGGAUUGUAAACCUCUUUUGUCGGGGAACAAAGGCGCCCACGUGUGGGCGGAUGAGUGUACCAGAAGAAAAAGCAUCGGCUAGCUCCGUGCCAGCGGCCGCGGUAAUACGGAGGAUGCGGGCGUUAUACGGCUUUAUUGGGGUUAAGGGGUGCGUAGGCGGACAGUAAAGUCAGCGGUAAAAAUGCGGUGCUAAACGCCGUACAGCUGUUGAAACUGGGAGUCUUGAGUGGGCGAGAGGUAUGCGGAAUGCGUGGUGUAGCGGUGAAAUGCAUAGAUAUCACGAAGAACUCCGAUUGCGAAGGCAGCAUACCGGAGCCCGACUGACGCUGAGGCACGAAAGCGUGGGUAUCGAACAGGAUUAGAUACCCGGGUAGUC
This 459-nucleotide ribosomal RNA is filed under the name uncultured bacterium. RNAcentral's name for it is "partial 16S ribosomal RNA". It matches the Rfam family "Bacterial small subunit ribosomal RNA", at positions 338 to 795 of the family's 1533-position model. The record is from RNAcentral.